This 501-nucleotide ribosomal RNA is filed under the name uncultured bacterium. RNAcentral describes it as "partial 16S ribosomal RNA". It matches the Rfam family "Bacterial small subunit ribosomal RNA", at positions 30 to 523 of the family's 1533-position model. The record is from RNAcentral.
AUUGAACGCUGGCGGCAUGCCUUACACAUGCAAGUCGAACGGCAGCACGGGUGCUUGCACCUGGUGGCGAGUGGCGAACGGGUGAGUAAUACAUCGGAACGUACCUUAUCGUGGGGGAUAACGCAGCGAAAGUUGCGCUAAUACCGCAUACGCCCUGAGGGGGAAAGCGGGGGACCGUAAGGCCUCGCGCGAUUAGAGCGGCCGAUGUCUGAUUAGCUUGUUGGUGAGGUAAAAGCUCACCAAGGCGAUUAUCAGUAGCUGGUCUGAGAGGACGAUCAGCCACACUGGGACGGAGACAAGGCCCAGACUCCUACGGGAGGCAGCAGUGGGGAAUUUUGGACAAUGGGGGCAACCCUGAUCCAGCAAUGCCGCGUGAGUGAAGAUGGCCUUCGGGUUGUAAAGCUCUUUUGUCAGGGAAGAAACAGCAGCUCUAACGCAGUCUGCGAAUGACGGUACCUGAAGAAUAAGCACCGGCUAACUACGUGCCAGCCGCCGCCGUAA